UCAAAUCUGGAUUGUUCAUCAUGUGACUUUUGGGAUCCUCCUAUAUAUAUAUUGGAAUGGAAGGAGAGUCAUCUUGAUUUUUGUCCGUGUGAGGGGCAUCAUUUGUCUCAAAUACUUGUCGUAAAUAACAUAAGUUUUUUUUUUUUUUUUUUUGGGUGUCGCGAGUAACGUGAACAUCAUGUACAACGAUUGGCUUUUCAACAAAACUUCUAGUGUUUUUCUUCUUGUGCUUGAACUAUUUGAGCUAUCCAGCACCCUGUGAUUGUCCAUAAAUUAUCCUAUUCAACAAUUGAACCAAAAAGAAGAAAAAAAAACUAUGGGUUUCAGCUUGAAAUCCAGAUGCAUUAUGCUAAUGGGUGGAAGGAUACCACCCCGGCCAGGUAAGAGCAGAGAAGCCAUAGUCCAAAGAUCGAACCAAAACGAUUAGAAUGAACCCUAGGAAUAACCAAAUCAAUCAAGAAACAAGCAACCACAAAGAACACAUGAUGUUGGUCAUCUCUCCAACUCAAUCUGAUUUUGUCAAUACGAUCGGAUACGAAGUCUCCAGUAGGCACUGAAUUCUUCCCAUAUUUUUCGAGUUUAAAUAAUUACGCUUUUGAAAACCACUAGACCUUUUAAAUUGGUCAUCUCAGCUACAAAAAAUUAUGUGUCUUUUCAGGCUGAAUUCCUUCAUGAUCAUAAGGUUUUAAGUUUCUUCAUGCUGCUUCAAACACAAUUCUUGUUGCUGGGGCAGGCAUUGCACCAUGGAUUGGUCUACUACCUUUACCAUUAUCAAUAGCAGCAGGUGGAUUAUUUCCAAUAUUCUGAACAUCAUUAUGAACAACAAGUAGUAAAUUCGUUGACGUCUAAUUGGCAAAACAUUAUCAAUUUUCAGUCACUGGAUUAUGGUUCAUCGGAUUUUCUACACCACUAAUUGGCAAAACAUGAUGAUUUCGGUCACCAUUCGAUAUAUUGCCCCAGACAUUCUUAUCACCAUUUGCUCCCCCGAAAAUUGCCGCACUUGGACUAGCUGUUGACCACGAUUAAGCAUCAAGUUCUGAACAUUACAAGUUACUUUCUAGCCAUAUUUUAUUUGUUUUCGAUCAAUAACGGAAAAAUUC
RNAcentral lists this long non-coding RNA (1100 nucleotides) under Prunus persica (peach). RNAcentral describes it as "long non-coding RNA (PPER_LNC001631)". The record is from RNAcentral. Lineage: Eukaryota; Viridiplantae; Streptophyta; Magnoliopsida; Rosales; Rosaceae.